Molecule: transfer RNA, 72 nt
Filed under: Rubrobacteraceae bacterium
Lineage: Bacteria; Bacillati; Actinomycetota; Rubrobacteria; Rubrobacterales; Rubrobacteraceae
Also listed under: 1 other name
Description: tRNA-Val
Rfam family: tRNA
About the family: Transfer RNA (tRNA) molecules are approximately 80 nucleotides in length. Their secondary structure includes four short double-helical elements and three loops (D, anti-codon, and T loops). Further hydrogen bonds mediate the characteristic L-shaped molecular structure. tRNAs have two regions of fundamental functional importance: the anti-codon, which is responsible for specific mRNA codon recognition, and the 3' end, to which the tRNAs corresponding amino acid is attached (by aminoacyl-tRNA synthetases). tRNAs cope with the degeneracy of the genetic code in two manners: having more than one tRNA (with a specific anti-codon) for a particular amino acid; and 'wobble' base-pairing, i.e. permitting non-standard base-pairing at the 3rd anti-codon position.
Source: RNAcentral
GGGCGAUUAGCUCAGGGGUAGAGCGCCUCCCUUACAAGGAGGAAGUCGCUGGUUCGAACCCAGCAUCGCCCA